This 811-nucleotide ribosomal RNA is filed under the name uncultured archaeon. RNAcentral's name for it is "bacterial SSU rRNA". It matches the Rfam family "Archaeal small subunit ribosomal RNA", at positions 85 to 879 of the family's 1478-position model. The record is from RNAcentral.
ACGGCUCAGUAACACGUGGCUAACCUAACCUUGAGACAGAGACAACCCCGGGAAACUGGGACUAAUCCCUGAUAGGUGAGAAGGCCUGAAAUGGUUUCUCUCCCAAAGGGCAUCGAGACCAUGCUUCUUAAUGUUGCUCAAGGAUGGGGCCGCGACCGAUCAGGUUGUUGGUGAGGUAACGGCUCACCAAGCCUAUAACCGGUACGGGCCGUGAGAGCGGGAGCCUGGAGAUGGGCACUGAGACAAGGGCCCAGGCCCUACGGGGCGCAGCAGGCGCGAAAACUCCGCAAUGCGCGAAAGCGUGACGGGGCUAUCCCGAGUGCCGUCCGCUGAGGGCGGCUUUUCUCUAGUGUAAGGAUCUUGAGGAAUAAGGAGAGGGCAAGCCUGGUGUCAGCCGCCGCGGUAAUACCAGCUCUCCGAGUGGUAGGGACCAUUAUUGGGCCUAAAGCGUCCGUAGCUUGCCCAGAAAGUCUCUUGUUAAAUCUAACGAUCCAAUCGUUAGACUGCAGGAGAUACUGUUGGGCUAGGAGGCGGGAGAAGCCAACGGUAUUCUCGGGGUAGGGGUGAAAUCCUAUAAUCCCGGGAGGACCACCAGUGGCGAAGGCUAUUGGCUAGAACGCGCUCGACGGUGAGGGACGAAAGCUGGGGGAGCAAACCGGAUUAGAUACCCGGGUAGUCCCAGCUGUAAACGAUGCGGGCUAGGUGUUGAAACGGCCACGAGCCGUUUCAGUGCCGCAACGAAGGCGUUAAGCCCGCCGCCUGGGGAAUACGGCCGCAAGGCUGAAACUUAAAGGAAUUGGCGGGGGAGCAC